CCUACGGGUGGCAGCAGUCGAGAAUCAUUCACAAUGGGGGAAACCCUGAUGGUGCGACGCCGCGUGGGGGAAUGAAGGUCUUCGGAUUGUAAACCCCUGUCAUGUGGGAGCAAAUUAAAAAGAUAGUACCACAAGAGGAAGAGACGGCUAACUCUGUGCCAGCAGCCGCGGUAAUACAGAGGUCUCAAGCGUUGUUCGGAAUCACUGGGCGUAAGGCGUGCGGAGGCUGUUUCGUAAGUCGUGUGUGAAAGGCGCGGGCUCAACCCGCGGACGGCACAUGAUACUGCGAGACUAGAGUAAUGGAGGGGGAACCGGAAUUCUCGGUGUAGCAGUGAAAUGCGUAGAUAGCGAGAGGAACACUCGUGGCGAAGGCGGGUUCCUGGACAUUAACUGACGCUGAGGCACGAAGGCCAGGGGAGCGAAAGGGAUUAGAUACCCCUGUAGUC
Molecule: ribosomal RNA, 446 nt
Filed under: uncultured bacterium
Lineage: Bacteria
Description: partial 16S ribosomal RNA
Rfam family: Bacterial small subunit ribosomal RNA
Source: RNAcentral